This 320-nucleotide ribosomal RNA is filed under the name uncultured eukaryote. RNAcentral describes it as "partial 18S ribosomal RNA". It matches the Rfam family "Eukaryotic small subunit ribosomal RNA", at positions 1470 to 1796 of the family's 1831-position model. The record is from RNAcentral.
CCCUUAGAUGUUCUGGGCUGCACGCGUGCUACACUGAUAUUGCCAAUAUGUCAUUCUUAUCCGGAAUGGAUUGGGUAAUCAAGUAAUGAAAUUUCAUGCUUGGAAUCGGUAAUUGCAAUUUUAUCGUGAACGAGGAAUUCCUAGUAAGCACUAGUCAUCAGCUAAUGUUGAUUAUGUCCCUGCCCUUUGUACACACCGCCCGUCGCUACUACUGAUUGGGUGAUCCGGUGAAUUAUUUGGACCAGUUGCGAAAUCCGUUGGAUUUCGUAGCCGCGAAAUGUUGUGAACCUUAUCACUUAGAGGAAGGAAAAGUCGUAACA